Molecule: ribosomal RNA, 497 nt
Filed under: uncultured bacterium
Lineage: Bacteria
Description: partial 16S ribosomal RNA
Rfam family: Bacterial small subunit ribosomal RNA
Source: RNAcentral
GAUGAACGCUGGCGGCGUGCCUAAUACAUGCAAGUCGAGCGAACGGACGAGAAGCUUGCUUCUCUGAUGUUAGCGGCGGACGGGUGAGUAACACGUGGAUAACCUACCUAUAAGACUGGGAUAACUUCGGGAAACCGUAGCUAAUACCGGAUAAUAUUUUGAACCGCAUGGUUCAAAAGUGAAAGACGGUCUUGCUGUCACUUAUAGAUGGAUCCGCGCUGCAUUAGCUAGUUGGUAAGGUAACGGCCUACCAAGGCAACGAUGCAUAGCCGACCUGAGAGGGUGAUCGGCCACACUGGAACUGAGACACGGUCCAGACUCCUACGGGAGGCAGCAGUAGGGAAUCUUCCGCAAUGGGCGAAAGCCUGACGGAGCAACGCCGCGUGAGUGAUGAAGGUCUUCGGAUCGUAAAACUCUGUUAUUAGGGAAGGACAUAUGUGUAAGUAACUGUGCACAUCUUGACGGUACCUAAUCAGAAAGCCACGGCUAACUACGUG